This 321-nucleotide ribosomal RNA is filed under the name Pleosporales sp. r309. Its description in RNAcentral is "partial 18S ribosomal RNA". The record is from RNAcentral. Lineage: Eukaryota; Fungi; Ascomycota; Dothideomycetes; Pleosporales.
CAUGGGGAACGUUCACAGACUAAGCGGAAGUGGGUAGGGCGCCAGUCGCCCUGCUUAAGAUGUAGUCGGGCCUCGGGGGAAACCUCAAGGGCGGUGAUCACAGAUUGCAAAAGGGGAACAUUGGGGAGGAGAAGGUGCAAUGGUACUAUGCUAUGCUAUCUCUUGUGCUAGGCGCCAAUAUGCCACUCUCAGUGCGCAUCGCGCGCCUGUGUGCAGAACUUGGCAAGGCGCAUUGCUAUCCUCAACCCAACGCUUCCUCUCUUGCCCUCUGUGGUCGCGAAGCAAGACCGUUCCGUAGGUGAACCUGCGGAAGGAUCAUUA